RNAcentral lists this ribosomal RNA (522 nucleotides) under Bifidobacterium longum subsp. infantis. RNAcentral's name for it is "bacterial SSU rRNA". It matches the Rfam family "Bacterial small subunit ribosomal RNA", at positions 163 to 700 of the family's 1533-position model. The record is from RNAcentral. Lineage: Bacteria; Bacillati; Actinomycetota; Actinomycetes; Bifidobacteriales; Bifidobacteriaceae.
GUAAUGCCGGAUGCUCCAGUUGAUCGCAUGGUCUUCUGGGAAAGCUUUCGCGGUAUGGGAUGGGGUCGCGUCCUAUCAGCUUGACGGCGGGGUAACGGCCCACCGUGGCUUCGACGGGUAGCCGGCCUGAGAGGGCGACCGGCCACAUUGGGACUGAGAUACGGCCCAGACUCCUACGGGAGGCAGCAGUGGGGAAUAUUGCACAAUGGGCGCAAGCCUGAUGCAGCGACGCCGCGUGAGGGAUGGAGGCCUUCGGGUUGUAAACCUCUUUUAUCGGGGAGCAAGCGUGAGUGAGUUUACCCGUUGAAUAAGCACCGGCUAACUACGUGCCAGCAGCCGCGGUAAUACGUAGGGUGCAAGCGUUAUCCGGAAUUAUUGGGCGUAAAGGGCUCGUAGGCGGUUCGUCGCGUCCGGUGUGAAAGUCCAUCGCUUAACGGUGGAUCCGCGCCGGGUACGGGCGGGCUUGAGUGCGGUAGGGGAGACUGGAAUUCCCGGUGUAACGGUGGAAUGUGUAGAUAUCGG